RNAcentral lists this ribosomal RNA (450 nucleotides) under uncultured bacterium. RNAcentral's name for it is "bacterial SSU rRNA". It matches the Rfam family "Bacterial small subunit ribosomal RNA", at positions 354 to 796 of the family's 1533-position model. The record is from RNAcentral.
GUGAGGAAUAUUGCGCAAUGGGCGAAAGCCUGACGCAGCAACGCCGCGUGAGUGAUGAAGGCCUUCGGGUCGUAAAGCUCUGUCGGGAGGGAAGAAUGGCCUCGGAGUAACAUGCCGAGGUGAUGACGGUACCUCCGAAGGAAGCACCGGCUAACUCCGUGCCAGCAGCCGCGGUAAGACGGAGGGUGCGAGCGUUGUUCGGAAUUAUUGGGCGUAAAGAGCGUGUAGGCGGUUUGUUAAGUCAGAUGUGAAAGCCCGUGGCUUAACUGCGGAAGUGCAUUUGAAACUGGCAGACUAGAGUACGAGAGAGGGGAGUGGAAUUCUCAGUGUAGAGGUGAAAUUCGUAGAUAUUGGGAGGAACACCGGUGGCGAAGGCGACUCCCUGGAUCGAUACUGACGCUGAGACGCGAAAGCGUGGGGAGCAAACAGGAUUAGAAACCCGAGUAGUCC